GACGAACUGUCCUAACGUUGUUCGGAAUCACUGGGCUUAAAGGGCGCGUAGGCGGUCCGACAAGUCAGGGGUGAAAUCCUGCAGCUUAACUGCAGAAGUGCCUUUGAUACUGUCGGUCUUGAGGGAGAUAGGGGUGUGCGGAACUCACAGUGGAGCGGUGAAAUGCGUUGAUAUUGUGAGGAACGCCGGAGGCGAAAGCGGCGCACUGGAUCUCUUCUGACGCUGAGGCGCGAAAGCUAGGGGAGCGAACGGG
Molecule: ribosomal RNA, 253 nt
Filed under: uncultured bacterium
Lineage: Bacteria
Description: partial 16S ribosomal RNA
Rfam family: Bacterial small subunit ribosomal RNA
Source: RNAcentral